GAUGAACGCUGGCGGCGUGCCUAAUACAUGCAAGUCGAGCGAACAGACGAGGAGCUUGCUCCUCUGACGUUAGCGGCGGACGGGUGAGUAACACGUGGAUAACCUACCUAUAAGACUGGGAUAACUUCGGGAAACCGGAGCUAAUACCGGAUAAUAUAUUGAACCGCAUGGUUCAAUAGUGAAAGACGGUUUUGCUGUCACUUAUAGAUGGAUCCGCGCCGCAUUAGCUAGUUGGUAAGGUAACGGCUUACCAAGGCAACGAUGCGUAUCCGACCUGAGAGGGUGAUCGGCCACACUGGAACGGAAACACGGUCCAGACUCCUACGGGAGGCAGCAGUAGGGAAUCUUCCGCAAUGGGCGAAAGCCUGACGGAGCAACGCCGCGUGAGUGAUGAAGGUCUUCGGAUCGUAAAACUCUGUUAUUAGGGAAGAACAAAUGUGUAAGUAACUAUGCACGUCUUGACGGUACCUAAUCAGAAAGCCACGGCUAACUACGUG
Molecule: ribosomal RNA, 497 nt
Filed under: uncultured bacterium
Lineage: Bacteria
Description: partial 16S ribosomal RNA
Rfam family: Bacterial small subunit ribosomal RNA
Source: RNAcentral